This is a non-coding RNA of Podarcis lilfordi (Lilford's wall lizard), 88 nucleotides long. The record is from the annotation of a GenBank genome assembly. Lineage: Eukaryota; Metazoa; Chordata; Lepidosauria; Squamata; Lacertidae.
CUUCCAGUAGCACCUUAGAGACCAACUACGUUUGUUAUUGGUAUGAGCUUUCGUGUGCAUGUGUUGGUCUCUAAGGUGCUACUGGAAG